GUUGAAAGUCACAUUUUUUAUUUUGUUGUACAAUCAACAAUGAGUCCUUCCAGACUUGCAAAAAAAUAGUAGAGAACUGGACUCAGAAUUAACUUUGCUUUUAGUGGCUAGAUACCAGAGCAAAUUUUAAAAAGCCUACAAAAAAAUAAAAUGGGUUAAAAGUAGCAAUGUUACGUAUUUUCUUAAUAUCUUGUGAACAAUGCUUCUUACUCUCCAUGUCUUCUUCAAGGGUUUCUAUGAAGCAAUUUCAAAUUCAUGAGAGGAAGCAAGUUACAUUAAAUACAGCUUUAUGUGUCACCUUUAAUUUUGGACAGAGUUUACACUAAAAAUGAAGAAUCCAGAUCCAUAAGAGAAUUCUUAUUUUACCAUUACCUGUGGGUUACUUGAAGCAGAUGUUUUAUCAGCCCCCAGCUUCAAUUGCCCUAUGAAAAGGCAGCAGUACAGUAACUGUACUGUUACCAACACUGGUAACUCAAACCAGUAUGAUGGCAGCAGCAGCACGCACCAUUUGCUGUGCAUUCACACCAACCCUCAUGUUCUAGAUACCAUUCUGCUCUGUCUGCACAUUGGUACUUCUGCUGUUGCAUCUGCAAAGCCCUCAGUAGCUGCCAUGUGUGCUGUGACAAGAGGCAGGGGAAUUUGCACAGCUGUAGAAAGACCCGUUCCAACCACACAUGAAGGCAAACCCACCUUUCCAGUAAUUAAGCUAAAAUCCCUAUGUGCUGAGAAGCUGCUUCGCCAGGCUCAGUGCUUCACCCCAAAACAAGCUGGAAGUUACAAUUCAAAAACGACAUGCUUGGUGUAAAGGACCUUUCUCCUUACUUUUCUUCUCGAGUCUGUGGAUCACUGCCAGAGUUUGAGUUUCUCUAAAUUUCACCAGCUUCAAAGUUUAAUCUUGACUGUCUUCAAUUCAGGUAACUUUUUCUUAGAGGAAACAAGGUCAUUCAGUGUUGCAGUUUUUACUUCUGCACUAUCGAAAUAUGCUGCAAGAAAAUGGAAUAUGCAGCCUUUCCAACAACAUUCUGUAUUCCCCAAAUCCCUUUUACUCAUGGUCACCAACGGAAGCCCUCCUGUUCUCUUCUAGCACAUGCUUCAGGACAUGACACAUACGCAAAUUGCCAGCAUUUACCAUGAUGCCAACCAGCUCCACAGCAGCUACUUUUCUUUUUAAAGUUUAAGAGACAGAUCCAUAGGGCAGUAGGCAAGAUGAGACACAAAAAGCUUCUAGGACUGGUAUCCAAAACUUCUAUUUUGCUGCUAUGAAUCCUAGACUACGGCUACAGUGAGAAGCUGGAAUAAAAACCUGGCCUACAUAUAAGCUGUUCUGUAUUUCACCUGAAAAUGUACACCAAUUACGGGGAUGGGGGGAGAGAGAAGUACUAAUCAGAAAUCCCAAGUAGUAACACUUGAUUACUUUUAACUACCACAUAACUACAUGUGAAGAAAAUUAGAAUCAUAGAACAGUUAGGGUUGGAAAGGACCUUAAGAUCAUCUAGUUCCAAUCCCCCUGCCAUGGGCAGGGACACGUCACACUAAACCAUGUUGCCCAAGGCUCUGUCCAAGCUGGCCUUGAACACCGCUAGGGGUGGAGCAUUCACAACUUCCUUGGGCAACCCAUUCCAGUGCCUCACCACGCUCACUGAGGCACAGAAGUCAUUAAGAACCUCAGCCUUCUCCAAAUCCAGGGUAGCCAGUUCUCCCCGUAGCUUCUGGAGAGGGCCCACAUUGUCCCUAGUCUUGUCUUUUAUUUGCUACGUACCUGUAGAAGCCUUCCCUGUUAUCUUUCACGUCCCUGGCCAGAUUUAAUUCUAACUGGGCCUUAGCUUUCCUAACCUGGUCCCUAGAUUCCUGGACAGUAUCCCUGUAUUCUUCCCAGGCUGCCUGUCCUCGCUUCCACCUCUUACAAGCUUCUUUUUUCCCCUCUUAAGUUUCCUCAGCAGCUCCUUAUCCAUCCAUGGAGGUGUCCUGGCCCUCCUGCCGCACUUCCUUCUGGUCGGGUC
This 2000-nucleotide long non-coding RNA is filed under the name Strigops habroptila (Kakapo). Its description in RNAcentral is "lncRNA (ENSSHBG00005020769.1)". Lineage: Eukaryota; Metazoa; Chordata; Aves; Psittaciformes; Psittacidae. The record is from RNAcentral.